This 279-nucleotide ribosomal RNA is filed under the name uncultured bacterium. RNAcentral describes it as "partial 16S ribosomal RNA". It matches the Rfam family "Bacterial small subunit ribosomal RNA", at positions 506 to 784 of the family's 1533-position model. The record is from RNAcentral.
UGCCAGCAGCCGCGGUAAUACGAAGGGUGCAAGCGUUAUCCGGAAUCAUUGGGUUUAAAGGGUCCGUAGGCGGACUAAUAAGUCAGAGGUGAAAGUUUUCGGCUCAACCGGAAAAAUGCCAUUGAUACUGUUUAACUUGAAUUAGUGUGAAGUAAUUAGAAUAAGUAGUGUAGCGGUGAAAUACAUAGAUAUUACUUAGAAUACCGAUUGCGAAGGCAGGUUACUAACACUAUAUUGACGCUGAGGGACGAAAGCGUGGGGAGCGAACAGGAUUAGAUA